GACGAACGCUGGCGGCGUGCCUAAUACAUGCAAGUAGAACGCUGAAGAGAGGAGCUUGCUCUUCUUGGAUGAGUUGCGAACGGGUGAGUAACGCGUAGGUAACCUGCCUUGUAGCGGGGGAUAACUAUUGGAAACGAUAGCUAAUACCGCAUAACAAUGGAUGACACAUGUCAUUUAUUUGAAAGGGGCAAUUGCUCCACUACAAGAUGGACCUGCGUUGUAUUAGCUAGUAGGUGAGGUAAUGGCUCACCUAGGCGACGAUACAUAGCCGACCUGAGAGGGUGAUCGGCCACACUGGGACUGAGACACGGCCCAGACUACUACGGGAGGCAGCAGUAGGGAAUCUUCGGCAAUGGGGGCAACCCUGACCGAGCAACGCCGCGUGAGUGAAGAAGGUUGUCGGAUCGUAAAGCUCUGUUGUAAGUCAAGAACGGGUGUGAGAGUGGAAAGUUCACACUGUGACGGUAGCUUACCAGAAAGGGACGGCUAACUACGUG
This 497-nucleotide ribosomal RNA is filed under the name uncultured bacterium. RNAcentral describes it as "partial 16S ribosomal RNA". It matches the Rfam family "Bacterial small subunit ribosomal RNA", at positions 28 to 507 of the family's 1533-position model. The record is from RNAcentral.